Molecule: ribosomal RNA, 1337 nt
Filed under: Salmonella enterica subsp. enterica serovar Muenchen
Lineage: Bacteria; Pseudomonadati; Pseudomonadota; Gammaproteobacteria; Enterobacterales; Enterobacteriaceae
Description: partial 23S ribosomal RNA
Rfam family: Bacterial large subunit ribosomal RNA
Source: RNAcentral
GUCCGUCGUGAAGAGGGAAACAACCCAGACCGCCAGCUAAGGUCCCAAAGUCAUGGUUAAGUGGGAAACGAUGUGGGAAGGCCCAGACAGCCAGGAUGUUGGCUUAGAAGCAGCCAUCAUUUAAAGAAAGCGUAAUAGCUCACUGGUCGAGUCGGCCUGCGCGGAAGAUGUAACGGGGCUAAACCAUGCACCGAAGCUGCGGCAGCGAACGUAUCACCCAAGACAACUUUGCGGAGUUGACGAUUGACGGAGCGAAGCGACGUCAAAGCGUUCAUUAAAGUCGAGUUGGCUUAGGGAUACGUUCGUUGGGUAGGGGAGCGUUCUGUAAGCCUGUGAAGGUGGCCUGUGAGGGUUGCUGGAGGUAUCAGAAGUGCGAAUGCUGACAUAAGUAACGAUAAAGCGGGUGAAAAGCCCGCUCGCCGGAAGACCAAGGGUUCCUGUCCAACGUUAAUCGGGGCAGGGUGAGUCGACCCCUAAGGCGAGGCCGAAAGGCGUAGUCGAUGGGAAACGGGUUAAUAUUCCCGUACUUGGUGUUACUGCGAAGGGGGGACGGAGAAGGCUAUGUUGGCCGGGCGACGGUUGUCCCGGUUUAAGCGUGUAGGUGUGUGUUCCAGGUAAAUCCGGUUCACUUUAACACUGAGGCGUGACGACGAGGCACUACGGUGCUGAAGCAACAAAUGCCCUGCUUCCAGGAAAAGCCUCUAAGCAUCAGGUAACAUCAAAUCGUACCCCAAACCGACACAGGUGGUCAGGUAGAGAAUACCAAGGCGCUUGAGAGAACUCGGGUGAAGGAACUAGGCAAAAUGGUGCCGUAACUUCGGGAGAAGGCACGCUGACACGUAGGUGAAGUGAUUUACUCAUGGAGCUGAAGUCAGUCGAAGAUACCAGCUGGCUGCAACUGUUUAUUAAAAACACAGCACUGUGCAAACACGAAAGUGGACGUAUACGGUGUGACGCCUGCCCGGUGCCGGAAGGUUAAUUGAUGGGGUCAGCGCAAGCGAAGCUCCUGAUCGAAGCCCCGGUAAACGGCGGCCGUAACUAUAACGGUCCUAAGGUAGCGAAAUUCCUUGUCGGGUAAGUUCCGACCUGCACGAAUGGCGUAAUGAUGGCCAGGCUGUCUCCACCCGAGACUCAGUGAAAUUGAACUCGCUGUGAAGAUGCAGUGUACCCGCGGCAAGACGGAAAGACCCCGUGAACCUUUACUAUAGCUUGACACUGAACAUUGAGCCUUGAUGUGUAGGAUAGGUGGGAGGCUUUGAAGUGUGGACGCCAGUCUGCAUGGAGCCGACCUUGAAAUACCACCCUUUAAUGUUUGAUGUUCUAACGUGGACCCGUUA